UACGUAGGGGGCAAGCGUUAUCCGGAUUUACUGGGUGUAAAGGGAGCGUAGACGGUGUGGCAAGUCUGAUGUGAAAGGCAUGGGCUCAACCUGUGGACUGCAUUGGAAACUGUCAUACUUGAGUGCCGGAGGGGUAAGCGGAAUUCCUAGUGUAGCGGUGAAAUGCGUAGAUAUUAGGAGGAACACCAGUGGCGAAGGCGGCUUACUGGAUGGUAACUGACGUUGAGGCUCGAAAGCGUGGGGAGCAAACAGG
Molecule: ribosomal RNA, 253 nt
Filed under: Blautia wexlerae DSM 19850
Lineage: Bacteria; Bacillati; Bacillota; Clostridia; Lachnospirales; Lachnospiraceae
Description: partial 16S ribosomal RNA
Rfam family: Bacterial small subunit ribosomal RNA
Source: RNAcentral